GAUGAACGCUGGCGGCGUGCCUAAUACAUGCAAGUCGAGCGAACGGACGAGAAGCUUGCUUUUCUGAUGUUAGCGGCGGACGGGUGAGUAACACGUGGAUAACCUACCUAUAAGACUGGGAUAACUUCGGGACACCGGAGCUAAUACCGGAUAAUCUUUUGAACCGCAUGGUUCAUAAGUGAAAGACGGUCUUGCUGUCACUUCUAGAUGGAUCCGCGCUGCAUUAGCUAGUUGGUAAGGUAACGGCUUACCAAGGCAACGAUGCAUAGCCGACGUGAGAGGGUGAUCGGCCACACUGGAGCUGAGACACGGUCCAGACUCCUACGGGAGGCAGCAGUAGGGAAUCUUCCGCAAUGGGCGAAAGCAUGACGGAGCAACGCCGCGUGAGUGAUGAAGGUCUUCGGAUCGUAAAACUCUGUUAUUAGGGAAGAACAUAUGUGUAAGGAACUGUGCACAGCUUGACGGUACCUAAUCAGAAAGCCACGGCUAACUACGUG
Molecule: ribosomal RNA, 497 nt
Filed under: uncultured bacterium
Lineage: Bacteria
Description: partial 16S ribosomal RNA
Rfam family: Bacterial small subunit ribosomal RNA
Source: RNAcentral